GGUCAAGCGAUAAAGAGCAUAGGGCGAAUGCCUUGGCACUAGGAGCCGAAGAAGGACGUGAUAAGCUGCGAUAAGCUACGGUAAGGCGCAAAUAGCCAAUAACCCGUAGAUUUCCGAAUGAGGGAACUCAAUUAUGGUAAUGCAUAAUUAUCCUAUGAUGAAUAUAUAGUCAUAGAGAAGGUAACCCGGAGAACUGAAACAUCUAAGUAACCGGAGGAAGAGAAAGAAAAAUCGAUUUUCAAAGUAGCGGCGAGCGAAAUGGAAAGAGCCCAAACCACAGAAGCUGUGGGGUUGUGGACCACCAAAACGAGAAUGAAGCAUAGUCAAAUUGUCUGGAAAGGCAAGACAAAGAGGGUGAAAUCCCCGUAGGCGAAAUGUAGAGUUUUCAGGGUGGCACCAGAGUAGGGCGGGACACGUGAAACCCUGUCUGAAGUAUGGGAGGACCACCUCCUAAGGCUAAAUACUACCUAGUGACCGAUAGAGAACAGUACCGUGAGGGAAAGGUGAAAAGAACCCCGAAAGGGGAGUGAAAUAGAAUCUGAAACCUUAUGCUUACAAGCAGAGGGAGCAAAGAGGGUAGCCUCUAAGUGACCUCGUACUUUUUGUAGAACGGGCCAACGAGUUAUGGUGUGUAGCAAGGUGAAGGCGUGAAGCGCAACAGCCGAAGUGAAAGCGAGCCUUAAUAGGGCGAGAAGUUGCAUGCUGCAGACCCGAAACCGGGUGAUCUAUCCNNNNNNNNNNNNNNNNNNNNNNNNNNNNNNNNNNNNNNNNNNNNNNNNNNNNNNNNNNNNNNNNNNNNNNNNNNNNNNNNNNNNNNNNNNNNNNNNNNNNGGCGAGAAGUUGCAUGCUGUAGACCCGAAACCGGGUGAUCUAUCCAUGUGCAGGUUGAAGCGAGAGUAAAAUCUCGUGGAGGACCGAACCUGUAUCUGUUGAAAAAGGUUAGGAUGACGUGUGGAUAGGGGUGAAAUUCCAAUCGAACUCGGAGAUAGCUGGUUCUCCUCGAAAUAGCUUUAGGGCUAGCCUCAAGAAAAGAUUAACGGAGGUAGAGCACUGAAUGUUUGCGGGACCUUCACCGGUUACCAAAAACUAUCAAACUCCGAAUGCCGUAUAAUUAUACUUGGGAGUCAGACUAUGUGAGAUAAGUUUCAUAGUCGAAAGGGAAACAGCCCAGACCUACAGCUAAGGUCCCAAAAUAUAAGUUAAGUGGAAAAGGAUGUGAAGUUGCACAAACAGCUAGGAUGUUGGCUUAGAAGCAGCCAUACAUUUAAAGAGUGCGUAACAGCUCACUAGUCGAGUGAUUUUGCGCCGAAGAUAAACGGGGCUAAAACUUAUUACCGAAGCUUGGGAAUUUAAAAUAAAUUGGUAGAGGAGCGUCCUAUGUGGGUUGAAGUUGUGCCGGAAGGCAUGGUGGACUGCAUAGGAGUGAGAAUGUUGGCAUGAGUAGCGAGAGACAGGUGAGAAUCCUGUCGGCCGAAAAUCUAAGGUUUCCUGAGCAAGGUUCGUCCGCUCAGGGUUAGUCGGGACCUAAGCUGAGGGCGAAAGCCAUAGGCGAUGGACAACAGGUUGAUAUUCCUGUACCACCGAUAGUCGUUAAGAGUGAAGUGGGGACACAGAAGGAUAGGUUAAGCGUGCCGUUGGUAGAGCACGUACAAGCGUUAAGGUAGUUGCAGCAGGCAAAUCCACUGCAAUAAUACUGAGGCGUUAUGUGGAGGGAAAUUAAGUACCGGAAGUAACUGAUUUCAUGCUGUCAAGAAAAUCCGCUAGCAAGACUAAAGGUGCCCGUACCGCAAACCGACACAGGUAGAUGAGGAGAGAAUCCUAAGGCCAGCGAGAUAACUAUUGUUAAGGAACUCGGCAAAAUAACCCCGUAACUUUGGGAGAAGGGGUACCUACGCAAGUAGGUCGCAGUGAAUAGGCCCAGGCGACUGUUUAGCAAAAACACAGGUCUCUGCAAAAGCGAAAGCUGAAGUAUAGGGGCUGACGCCUGCCCAGUGCUGGAAGGUUAAGGUGAAGUGUAAGGGUAACCGAAGCACAGAACUUAAGCCCCAGUAAACGGCGGCCGUAACUAUAACGGUCCUAAGGUAGCGAAAUUCCUUGUCAGGUAAGUUCUGACCCGCACGAAAGGCGUAACGAUCUGGGCGCUGUCUCAACAAUAGACUCGGUGAAAUUGUAGUACCGGUAAAGAUGCCGGUUACCCGCAGCAGGACGGAAAGACCCCGUGGAGCUUUACUGUAACUUGAUAUUGAGUUUCGGUGUUAUGCGUACAGGAUAGGUGGGAGACUAAGAAUCUGGAGCGCCAGUUUUAGAGGAGUCAAUGUUGGGAUACCACCCUUGUAGCAUUGGAAUUCUAACCCGGUAGCAUCAUCUGCUACGGGGACAGUGUCUGGUGGACAGUUUGACUGGGGCGGUCGCCUCCUAAAGAGUAACGGAGGCGCCCAAAGGUUCCCUCAGCGCGGACGGAAAUCGCGCAUAGAGUGCAAAGGCAGAAGGGAGCUUGACUGCGAGACCAACAAGUCGAGCAGGGACGAAAGUCGGGCUUAGUGAUCCGGUGGCAUCCGAGUGGAAGGGCCAUCGCUCAACGGAUAAAAGCUACCCCGGGGAUAACAGGCUGAUACCGCCCAAGAGUUCACAUCGACGGCGGUGUUUGGCACCUCGAUGUCGGCUCGUCUCAUCCUGGGGCUGGAGUAGGUCCCAAGGGUUGGGCUGUUCGCCCAUUAAAGAGGUACGCGAGCUGGGUUCAGAACGUCGGGAGACAGUUCGGUCCCUAUCCGCUGUGGGCGUUGGAAAUUUGAGUGGAGCUGUUCCUAGUACGAGAGGACCGGAAUGGACAUACCUAUGGUGUACCGGUUGUUCUGCCAAGGGCAUAGCCGGGUAGCUAAGUAUGGAAAGGAUAAGCGCUGAAAGCAUCUAAGUGCGAAGCCAACCACAAGAUAAGAUUUCCUCCAGCAAUGGUAAGACCCGUGAGAGACUAUCACGUUGAUAGGUCGGAGGUGUAAGUGCAGUAAUGUAUUUAGCUGACCGAUACUAAUAGGUCGAACGCUUGACCAA
Molecule: ribosomal RNA, 3048 nt
Filed under: Eubacterium saphenum ATCC 49989
Lineage: Bacteria; Bacillati; Bacillota; Clostridia; Peptostreptococcales; Anaerovoracaceae
Description: Bacterial large subunit ribosomal RNA
Rfam family: Bacterial large subunit ribosomal RNA
Source: Rfam by way of RNAcentral